This 463-nucleotide long non-coding RNA is filed under the name Lynx pardinus (Iberian lynx). The record is from RNAcentral. Lineage: Eukaryota; Metazoa; Chordata; Mammalia; Carnivora; Felidae.
AACUUUCUGGAUUUGUUUUAAAAUUUAACUUAUAACUGUAUAUUUUCUUGAUUUUUACCCAGGUUACAAAAUACCCUCCUAUGCUUGAGAUCCACAGACUACGUGUCCUACGAGAACGAAUCAGUUGUUCAUCUCCUGGAAAUACAUUAGAAACAUAAAUAUGGUGCCAAAAGAUUUCCUUACCUUUCUCUGACUACAGUUUAUUUGGACAUACUUUUGUAUUGAAGAGAGGUACACAGACUGAGGCUACUUGUGCAGAGACUCUGUCGUGUAGGAUCAUGGACCAUCCUAGUAGAGAGAAGGAUGAAAGACAACGGACAACUAAACCCAUGGCACAAAGGAGUGCACACUGUACCCGACCGUCUGGCUCCUCAACAUCCUCUGGGGUUCUUAUGGUGGGACCCAACUUCAGGGUUGGCAAGAAGAUAGGGUGUGGGAACUUCGGAGAGCUCAGAUUAGGUAA